This 893-nucleotide long non-coding RNA is filed under the name Lynx pardinus (Iberian lynx). The stretch from base 785 to 886 matches the Rfam family "HOX antisense intergenic RNA myeloid 1 conserved region 4". The record is from RNAcentral. Lineage: Eukaryota; Metazoa; Chordata; Mammalia; Carnivora; Felidae.
AUAGAAAGCGUUUGAUUUAUGAGCGUAGGACGAAUCGCAAACAGCAGCGGCUCAGCCCCGGCUGCGGCCGGGCUGCCCUGCUCAGCUCCGCGCCUGGGGCUGGAGACCCGCCGGGGUCCUCACACGCCUCCGCCGCUGCCAGGAUGUAGGGGGCAAAAGGGUGAAGGAAGAUAGGGUGCAAACCCAUGGAGAAAGAGCGCGAUUUCAUUGUAACUUCCAAGCCUUAACUAUUAAGAGCCGGGUUCCUGAAUCAACCCGCCCCCCACACAUGUUGCUUACACACUGCGUUUUCUCACGGUAAGUAGCCAUCACAACAGAGCUCAGUAAGGAAAAAAUCAGCAUGGGGAGAUAUAAGAAGGGAGGGGGGGGGGAGCAAGACAGCCCAGGAACGUGCCCUAGAUUACAUUUUAUUGAUAUUUCAUUUAAAGUGCUUUUUCUCUUUCUCUCUCUAGAAACUGGGUUAAUUUAUAACCUAGGGCGCAGAAACUCUCCAUUUUAAAUCUCAACUUGGUAACCUGGCUUCAAAGCUUUAAUGAUCCAUUAUUUGCCAUGUAAACAGAUUUAAGAAUGAAAUAUUGAUUUUUCUGACCCUGAAAAAAAGAAUCCUAGAAUGACUGGACCAGAGGAUUGGAAAGAACGCUUUCUGAAGUGCAUUUUCCAGCUAGUAACCAUGUUUUGUUUUAUUUUUGUUUUCUCUACCUUUUAGGUCUGUUUGCCUGGACCCAUCAACAUCUGGGAGACUAAUCAACCACACUGAAAAUGUUUCCGGGGGAUUGUGGGGGAGGGGGUUGGAAUGUAGAUGUUUGAAACAAAUGUGUAUAAAUAAAUGAAUUGUUGAUAACUUAGUUAUUGACCUGGAGACUGGUAGCUUGUUAAAGAAACUCCAUGUUCCU